This 484-nucleotide ribosomal RNA is filed under the name uncultured bacterium. RNAcentral's name for it is "partial 16S ribosomal RNA". It matches the Rfam family "Bacterial small subunit ribosomal RNA", at positions 28 to 507 of the family's 1533-position model. The record is from RNAcentral.
AUUGAACGCUGGCGGCAUGCUUUACACAUGCAAGUCGAACGGCAGCGCGGGCUUCGGCCUGGCGGCGAGUGGCGAACGGGUGAGUAAUGCAUCGGAACGUGCCCAGGAGUGGGGGAUAGCCCGGCGAAAGCCGGAUUAAUACCUCAUACGACCUGAGGGUGAAAGCGGGGGACCGAAAGGCCUCGCGCUUUUGGAGCGGCCGAUGUCGGAUUAGCUAGUUGGUGGGGUAAAGGCUUACCAAGGCGACGAUCCGUAGCUGGUCUGAGAGGACGACCAGCCACACUGGGACUGAGACACGGCCCAGACCCCUACGGGAGGCAGCAGUGGGGAAUUUUGGACAAUGGGGGCAACCCUGAUCCAGCCAUGCCGCGUGAGGGAAGAAGGCCUUCGGGUUGUAAACCGCUUUUGUUCGGGAAGAAAUCCUCUGGGCUAAUACCCCGGGGGGAUGACGGUACCGGAAGAAUAAGCACCGGCUAACUACGUG